Molecule: long non-coding RNA, 4714 nt
Organism: Lagopus muta (rock ptarmigan)
Lineage: Eukaryota; Metazoa; Chordata; Aves; Galliformes; Phasianidae
Exons: 3
Source: RefSeq, a predicted model, not a curated record
UGUCUGACCUGCAUGUAUGAAAGUAGAGGCAGAAACAGCGCAUGAACUCAUGCUUUGUCCCUUGGCAAGGAUGAGACUGUAGCAUAGUCUUUUGAACUUAGUGAGUUUUGAGCUCAGUGUCCUGCAGAGUGGUCCUUGUGGUUUCUGAAUUUAAAAUGAGUGGGAUUUUUGUUUGUUUGUUUGUAACAAGAGAGCACUGAAAUAAACCCACAGUGUUAGAGAAGUGUGAUUUUAAUAAUGUUCAGCAGCAUGAGAUCUCUACUUUCCACUCAGUUCUGUUCUCCAUUGAAAAACUUUUCCACAGGAGGAGCUCUGAGAAACCUUUGGUAAUUUUAUAUCCUGUAUUGACUUGACAAUAAGGGCACUUGCUCACAAGAUUCCCUUCAAGGCUAAGUGUUGAAUUCCUGGCAUUCCCAGAAGACUUACGUUGAAUUGUAUGAAUUUAGCUCUUUGCCUAUGUAAAUAUGGAAAGCUCUGGAUGUUCCAGGGUCUCCCUGCUCUAGUUUGUCCAUAUUCCAUUGCUUAGAUUUGCCCAUCUAGUGUCUUUGUAAUCUGCUGCACUACAGCUUCAUGAAUCAGUCUGGGCCAGAGGUGCCAGAAAUAGUUGAUGAGUAACUGCUAUGCAGUCAGGGGGCAAUUGCAUAUGUGUAGAGCAAAGGGGAAUCUCUCCUGGGCAUCCUUUGGCCACUAGUGCUGAUGAGUGCUUAAACUAAGACAGUUUAAGCCAGAGUCAAUGCAGGUGAAUUGGAUGGUCUUCGGAACUUGAAAUUCAGUACUAUAUUGUGCCCUUAUUACUACUAGUAAGUAUUUCUCUUGUGAGCUGGGGCUCUCUGUGUAUGAAUAAUGAGCAGGAAGAUGGCUGGGUUGUGCAGCUUGUGCCUGAGAUGGCUGAGCUACCAGUGCUAUGUGACUCUGGAAAAGGCAGCUGCAGCUUUUGGCUCAUGCCAUUUCCAAAGGCACUGAGGAGAAGCAAUGUGAAAUACUGUGUGCAAGUAUGAGCAUAGCAUUCCUGACAAAGUCCCCCAGUACCUCUUACAGUGAUAUGAAAGUGGUUCUCACUAAAGAUAACUCAGCUGCUAUGAGUAAGGACUAGAUAUGCCUUUUGCAAAAAUGGGCUGAAACUGGAGAAACUGCCAAGAUUUUAUGCCCACGUGACCAACAGAGAAAAAUAUAGGGAGGGAUUAGAAUGCUUAGUUUCUUUAAAUUGGCAAAAUUGGUAAUGGGAGAGGUUAUGGUGGCUGUCUGUACAUGCAAAAGCUUUUAAAAACUGGGGAUUAUAAGACUUUGUCUUAGCAGAUUAGCAGUCUAGAUUUUUAAUAGAGCAGAAGGGCUCAUCUGAUCUGUAUAAAAUCAAAUGAAACAGUUCCAUCUGACUCAACUUGAGCAGGUAUGUUUGUAUUCUCUUUUCAGCAAGGCAUCCUGGCAGCCUGCGUAGUAAGACCAGAGCUCAGGAAGCUCCUGAUUGCAGCGCGUCCCAGCAGGCUGCAGAAGCUAAGUGAGAGCUUGUUUGUGAUGUGCUGGUGUUCAUAUCAAGCAAAUUCAUCCUUGCUCACUAGCAUUCAAGGGAGAAAGGAAAGCUGUCUGUAGGGUGACUUUCUGCAUAACCUGUGUUUUUGCCUUGGUCUGAGAAAUUCUUUCCCUGGCCUUUCAAUGGGAGGCAAUGUUUUAGAUUUAGUAUUAUUAAAGAUGUUUGCUCUUUAGAAUAUCUUUAGUUUUCUUGUUAGUACCCCUUACUCCCCAGUGGCAUAAAGAGUACUGUGUUUUGAGAAGAGGACCCAAGAAUGGCCCACACAAGAGAAAUAAAAGCAAAGCUGAAGUAUGUGAGAUCACAUUCUACACGAACCUGCCUGUCUUGUUUUAAGAUGUGUAGAUUUGUCCAUCUUGUUGAGCAGUUCUGUUAUCCCCAGUGUAGCUCCUGAUGAUUGUCCUGAGGAGAGAGAAUUUGUCAUGAUCUGUUCUGCCAAACAACCUGCAACUCAUUUCUGGAUUUAGGGAGGAAUCUUCCUUGCCAGUUGGUGUCAACCUUCAAGCAUGUCUCUGCAGAAGGACAUAAAACCCAGCAGGACUCCCUUAUCACAUGGCAUUAACUGAGGUGGUGCUGUCAUUUUCGAUACAUUUGACUUCUUGCCUCCAACCCCCAUGCUGAGAUCUCAUGUUCCUUUUUUCCCCAGGGUCAUGUCUUACACAGAGUCCCCACUGUGGCUUUGCUCUGCUGGGUCAAGGGAAACAUGAGAUGACAAUUUUUGCCCUUUCCUCUUAAUGGUUAAAAUUAUAGAAGGGGUAAGAAGAGGUCUGUAUGGAUUUCAUCUUUGAGAUUGAUUUUAUAGUGACAGGGGGAACAGGGAAAGACGGACCCACUCCAAGGCUUUUGGCUUCCCACACCUUUCAGAAAGGGACAGCAGGAUGACAUCUCACGUGCUCUGUAUCUGUCCCAGAUUGUGGCUGUUUUCUUGUGAAGAGCAAAUGCACGAUUCAAAGAGUGCCUGGCAAAAGCUUCUUCUAGUUCUGCAGCAGCAGCACGGGAAAUAUUUCAUGUAUGUAGAAGAUGGAGCAUCCCUGUAGACAGUUGUUUUCUGCAACCUUUUGUAAGUUUGGGGAAAAGUUAUUAAGUACUGUUUCUAUUUCUUUCUUUAAAAAAGGACAGAGAAAAAGCCUGCAUUUUCUGCCAUUUCCCAAGAGGCUUUUUAUCUGUUUAAACCAACUAGGGAUUUUUCACAUAUUGACAUAAGCAUUCAUUUGCUAAUUUGCUGGACAUUAAACUGCACAGCAUUCUUGAAUGAGGCUGGAAUACUUGGGUACUUAGUGCUGCUCAGACCCCGCAUCAUUCCCAGUACACAUAUGGUUUUCCUCCUCUAUCUCCUAGAUAAAAGUCACUGUUUGAUCGCCUUAAGGGAAAGAAUGAGUUAAAUGGACCAAUAUUUUAGCCUUGGCUCUAAAACUGGGCCUUUUCAGAAACUCCUCAGCACCUGCAGCAGCUAGGUCAUUUGCACAUACAUAAAUAAAUAAAUUAACAAUGAAUAAAUAAUUUAAUCCCACCAUACAAUGCCACCUUGCAGAUCUGAUCCUUUGCUCCCAGUGAAUUUGUCCAUUCCUAAUUCUUUUUGAUAAAGUCCUCAGAUACUUGCUGACUGUCAGUCUAAUUUUCUUAUUGUUUUCGCUUGAUUAGUUCUGUAUGACCUAAGGUCGCCCUUAAAAUCCACAUCUCUCGUGAAGACUCCGAAAGGCCUUCUUUUUUUUCAAAGGGAUGGAAAGUGCCUGCCAUUUCUCCGGACAAAAGCCUGGAAGGUUUUCAGUUAUUAGCCUCCUGAAGCAGCCCUUUCGCUCACCCAAGCGCAAAAAAAACUCAUUAGGGGGCACCUUUCUUUCUGCCUUCUUCGUCUGAUGCAUGUUGGCUUUACGUGUUUCAAGAUUUCCAGGUCUCGGAUGGAUUUGGCCAGCUUCCCUUUUAACCCUGCCGGACUGUGGUUGUGCCCUGGACAGAGAUUGGUUGAACCACCUGGAGAUGCUCCGUCCUUUCAGCAGCUGUUUUACACCCUCUGGUCUGCUGUUCUGUUGAGCACUUCUGCCUGGCACACAGCACUGCCAUACCUGUGCCUGCCUUUUAGGAAGAAAAGCAUCCCAAAAGUAAACUGGCAGAAAGGGGCUGCCUGGUCUCUGAUGAAGGAUCUCUACUUUGCCUGGGAUCUGAGCCUAAAGAAAUACUCAGGAGCAGAAGGAAGAUGAACAGGGCAUAAAGAGAGCAGUGCCAGUGGAAUUUUUGUGGACAAAUACUUUGUGUCUUGCUCCUGCAGCGCUAUUUCUCCUUGUCCUGUCCUGACAAGCAGCUGCUCUUCCAGUCCCCUGGGUUAAAACCUGUUUUGGAAAACUCAGGACUGUAGCUAAGGUCUCAGUUCCAAGCAUGUGGAACGACAAUUUAAUAGCCACUAGUCUUGCUACUGGCUGUUUUCAAGGCCAAGAGAAAUUAUCUUUCUUAGUUUGGAAUAACAUACUGUUGCAACCACUAUUUUUUUUGCCAGUUCCUCUGAAAUCCCCAUGAUACUGACAAUUUACUUCCCCCUCUUUUUUACCAGUUCCUCUGAAACCUGAGGGAGAUCAGCCCUCCAUAAAAUCAAGCCAGCCAAGUGCAUAAGGCUGGAUCUGCGCACAAGUCCUUGCAGGUUCCAUACCACCAACUCCAUUACUCUUUCUAUUGGCAUAAAUUCUGACCAGCUGUCAGCUUGAAUUUAGGGUAAAAUAGUGUGGAAGCUAUGUGACAAGGAGAAAUUGUGUCAGCAUGAUACCAGGCAGUCUUGUUUAUAACUUUUUGCAUCAGUGUCCCUUCCACACAAACCAUUUAGGGGUAUUCAAGCUUUCUGAAUAAACUUGACACUUUAGUUAAGAAGCUUGAAGCUUUAGAUGAAAUUAACUUCUAGUGUCUCAUUCAGAACGCUGUGUACAUUCUGUUGAAGAAAUCCUGCUAAAAAUAAGCUAAAACAUUCUGGAUGAUGCUGUGCCUGGAGCUCUACUCAAUGUCCCACACAGAGAGAAGAGGAUUGGCUUCCACUGAAACCAAUGGCAAAUUUCUCCUCUACUAUUUAUGGUGACUGGAAGACUCUCUGAAGAGCCUUUAAGAAGCCACAUGUUGGCAGCUGAACUUCAUCCCAAAUCUUCACAGCUUCCUGCUAGAAGAGGAUGAAGUUGACCACAUGCCCUCAAAAUUCAUCUCAAUCUGAAA